RNAcentral lists this small RNA (27 nucleotides) under Bombyx mori (domestic silkworm). RNAcentral describes it as "ovarian small RNA-28421". Lineage: Eukaryota; Metazoa; Arthropoda; Insecta; Lepidoptera; Bombycidae. The record is from RNAcentral.
UCGAUAAGUGCACUACAUGGCCUCUUG